Molecule: transfer RNA, 70 nt
Filed under: Marmota marmota marmota (Alpine marmot)
Lineage: Eukaryota; Metazoa; Chordata; Mammalia; Rodentia; Sciuridae
Also listed under: 3 other names
Rfam family: tRNA
About the family: Transfer RNA (tRNA) molecules are approximately 80 nucleotides in length. Their secondary structure includes four short double-helical elements and three loops (D, anti-codon, and T loops). Further hydrogen bonds mediate the characteristic L-shaped molecular structure. tRNAs have two regions of fundamental functional importance: the anti-codon, which is responsible for specific mRNA codon recognition, and the 3' end, to which the tRNAs corresponding amino acid is attached (by aminoacyl-tRNA synthetases). tRNAs cope with the degeneracy of the genetic code in two manners: having more than one tRNA (with a specific anti-codon) for a particular amino acid; and 'wobble' base-pairing, i.e. permitting non-standard base-pairing at the 3rd anti-codon position.
Source: Rfam by way of RNAcentral
GGAGAAAUAACUCAAUUGGUAGAGUGCUUGCCUUGCAUGCAUAAGGCCCUGGAUUCAAUCUCCAGCACCA